RNAcentral lists this unclassified non-coding RNA (315 nucleotides) under Hevea brasiliensis (rubber tree). Lineage: Eukaryota; Viridiplantae; Streptophyta; Magnoliopsida; Malpighiales; Euphorbiaceae. The record is from RNAcentral.
AGGAGGAAGCUCACAAGCGUGAAGGUAACAUAGAUAAUGCAAAAUAUUAUUAUCCUCAAGCCUAAAUGAUUUCUUAAUCUUUUUCUUAAUUCAGCUUGUUGAACUGUUUUUUUCUGAAAUUGAUUAGUGUUUUUUUAGUUAGUUUCUCCUCUUUAUAUGUGAAAUCCUUCAAUUUUUAUGCAACUUAGCUUCCAAGUUACUGUUGUGCCUGUGAACUAUAUCUUUCCUUUUCUUUCAUUACACCCUGAAUCCAUACCAACUUAUUACCAACAUUGUUUUAAACCAUCUUUUAAAAAAAAUUAUACUGAAGUUUUU